RNAcentral lists this ribosomal RNA (509 nucleotides) under uncultured bacterium. RNAcentral describes it as "partial 16S ribosomal RNA". The record is from RNAcentral.
GGAGUUAGCCGGUGCUUCUUCUGUGAGUGAUGUCCUUCCUGCCGGUAUAGUAACCCGCAGGCCUUCUUCCUCACUGAAAGUGCUUUACAACCCGAAGGCCUUCUUCACACACGCGGCAUGGCUGGAUCAGGGUUGCCCCCAUUGUCCAAUAUUCCCCACUGCUGCCUCCCGUAGGAGUCUGGGCCGUGUCUCAGUCCCAGUGUGGCUGAUCAUCCUCUCAGACCAGCUACGGAUCGUCGCCUUGGUGAGCCGUUACCUCACCAACCAGCUAAUCCGACAUAGGCUCAUCCGAUAGCGCGAGGCCCGAAGGUCCCCCGNUUUCCCCCGUAGGGCGUAUGCGGUAUUAGCCUGGGUUUCCCCCAGGUUAUCCCCCACUACCGGGCAGAUUCCUAUGCAUUACUCACCCGUCCGCCGCUCGCCACCAGGGAGCAAGCUCCCCGUGCUGCCGCUCGACUUGCAUGUGUUAGGCCUGCCGCCAGCGUUCAAUCUGAGCCAUGAUCAAACUCUGA